Molecule: ribosomal RNA, 333 nt
Filed under: uncultured Glomeromycotina
Lineage: Eukaryota; Fungi; Glomeromycota
Description: LSU rRNA
Source: RNAcentral
UUGAAAGGGAAACGAUUGAAGUCAGUCAUCCUAAUAGGGAAUCAACCUGAUGGGUCGUUCCCCCGGGAGCAAUCUAUCUCGUGCACCGCCUUGUUCGGCAGCUUAGCCUCAAUUUCGCAUGCCAUCAAAAAAUGGAGGGAACGUGACUUCUUUCGGGAAGUGUUAUAGCCCUUGAUAGAUGUGGUGAUCGGGAUUGAGGAUUGCAGCGGAUGCUCUUGGGCUAAUCACCUACCUUCUGACGAAUACCCCCCUUUCCAUAAAGCUCUCACAAGGGAUCAAAGCAGCCGUCCAAGUAGGUGAAAACGACAUAAAUUCGUUAAGGAUGUUGACGUA